AGACAUGCUUUAACAUUGCCAUAACCAACUUCUUUCUGUGUCGAUCUGUUAGACAUGUAGACUGCUUUUAUGCUCAUUUAUAGGCGAAAACCAACUACUUUAUAUAUUAGAAACACAUUGAAAGGCUCUCUGCUAGAAACUCCACCUAGACCCGGACUCUAAGAGACUCUGAUGGGAGCCAGACAAGUUAAAACCAUUGCCUGAUAUGUUCAAGGCACACCUCAAGUUUAAGUCACAAAGCAUCUACAGAAGAAUAAGGAAGAGGAGGACUCCCUGGAAGGGAGCAGAAGGAAACUGUGACACACUGGCCAGACUUGAGCUUGUUAGACCUCAAAGCUUUCCUCCACCGUGACACAUUUCCUCCAGCAAGGCCACACCUAUGCCAGCAAGGUCACAUCUUCUAAUAAUGCCAUUCCCUAUGGGCCAAGAAUUCAAACACGUGAGUCUAUGGGACCAUUCCUAUUCAAACCACCACAGGCCUCCUAAAAGAACACUCCCCUCCAUGCCUUGGUGCACCCCUAAGUGCUCUGGACUCCAGCUAAGGGACAGCUGAGCUGAAAACAGCUUUAGCCGGGGUUUACCUAGAAGUGUUCUCACAGUUUACUUCUGGGUGGCCAUUCUGGAGUCGGAAAUGAUGGCUCCUAACAAGAUUCCUCCCCACCUCCAUGCUGAUCCACAUGUCAUUCUUCAUCUAAAAGAGGACAGAAGUCAUAACAAGACUGUGUGUCCUACAGCACCAAGUACCAAGGCUGAAAAUAAGUGUGAUGGCUAAAGUUACAUUUUAAGUUUAAAUUUCUGUGCUUAAGAGGUCUAUAAAAGAAAAAUGGCCAUAACCUGUGAUGUCCACUUGCCUAAAGACAGACAGCCUCCUGGAUUGCUGAGGACUGCUGUUCAUGCAAGAGAACAAGCCACAUGUCUUCGCUUCCGUGAACAAGCUUGGUUGCCCCAACUGCACAGGAUGUGCACAUACGUGGAGGUACACAGGCAGAAAGCAUGCUUGCCCCUGGGUGAACAAGGGAAGUACGUAGCUUUGUGGGCUUUGCGUUUAUAAGCCCCUGACUUCAUGUAAUUAGCAGCCAUACUCU
Meriones unguiculatus (Mongolian gerbil) is the source of this 1085-nucleotide long non-coding RNA. RefSeq lists it as uncharacterized. Lineage: Eukaryota; Metazoa; Chordata; Mammalia; Rodentia; Muridae. The transcript is spliced from 3 exons. The record is from RefSeq and is a predicted model, not a curated record.